Molecule: ribosomal RNA, 1345 nt
Filed under: uncultured bacterium
Lineage: Bacteria
Description: bacterial SSU rRNA
Rfam family: Bacterial small subunit ribosomal RNA
Source: RNAcentral
GAUGAACGCUAGCGGGAGGCCUAACACAUGCAAGCCGAGCGGUAGAGAUCUUUCGGGAUCUUGAGAGCGGCGUACGGGUGCGGGACACGUGUGCAACCUGCCUUUAUCAGGGAGAUAGCCUUUCGAAAGGAAGAUUAAUACCCCAUAAUAUAUUGAGUGGCAUCACUUAAUAUUGAAAACUCCGGUGGAUAGAGAUGGGCACGCGCAAGAUUAGAUAGUUGGUGAGGUAACGGCUCACCAAGUCUGCGAUCUUUAGGGGGGCUGAGAGGGUGAUCCCCCACACUGGUACUGAGACACGGACCAGACUCCUACGGGAGGCAGCAGUGAAGAAUAAUGGACCAUGGGUGCGAACCUGAUUCAGCCAUCCCGCGUGAAAGACCACCGCCCUAUGGGUUGUAAACUUCUUUUGUAUAGGGAUAAACCUACUCUCGUGAGAGUAGCUGAAGGUACUAUACGAAUAAGCACCGGCUAAAUCCCUGGCAACAGCCGCGGUAAUACCGAAGGUGCAAGCGUUAUCCCGAUUUAUUGGGGUUUAAAGGGCCCUAAGCGGAUCUGUAAGUCAGUGGUGAAAUCUCACAGCUUAACUGUGAAACUGCCAUUGAUACUGCAGGUCUUGAGUGUUGUUGAAGUAGCUGGAAUAAGUAGUGUAGCGGUGAAAUGCAUAGAUAUUACUUAGAACACCAAUUGCGAAGGCAGGUUACUAAGCAACAACUGACGCUGAUGGACGAAAGCGUGGGGAGCGAACAGGAUUAGAUACCCUGGUAGUCCACGCCGUAAACGAUGCUAACUCGUUUUUGGGCUUUCGGGUUCAGAGACUAAGCGAAAGUGAUAAGUUAGCCACCUGGGGAGUACGAACGCAAGUUUGAAACUCAAAGGAAUUGACGGGGGCCCGCACAAGCGGUGGAUUAUGUGGUUUAAUUCGAUGAUACGCGAGGAACCUUACCAAGGCUUAAAUGGGAAAUGACAGGCUUAGAAAUAGGCUUUUCUUCGGACAUUUUUCAAGGUGCUGCAUGGUUGUCGUCAGCUCGUGCCGUGAGGUGUUAGGUUAAGUCCUGCAACGAGCGCAACCCCUGUCACUAGUUGCCAUCAUUAAGUUGGGGACUCUAGUGAGACUGCCUACGCAAGUAGAGAGGAAGGUGGGGAUGACGUCAAAUCAUCACGGCCCUUACGCCUUGGGCCACACACGUAAUACAAUGGCCGGUACAGAGGGCAGCUACACUGCGAAGUGAUGCAAAUCUCGAAAGCCGGUCUCAGUUCGGAUUGGAGUCUGCAACUCGACUCCAUGAAGCUGGAAUCGCUAGUAAUCGCGCAUCAGCCAUGGCGCGGUGAAUACGUUCCCGGGCCU